GGCGAGACUAGAGUCACAUCUUGAUUUGUGAUUGUCUUGGUGUGCUUUGAGUUCUCGUAGAUCAAAACCUUGGCUUAUUCAUUGGCUCGUGCUACGUUAGCUGUGCCAAUCGCCAGCUUUGGGACAGUA
Molecule: small nucleolar RNA, 129 nt
Organism: Erpetoichthys calabaricus (reedfish)
Lineage: Eukaryota; Metazoa; Chordata; Cladistia; Polypteriformes; Polypteridae
Product: small nucleolar RNA SNORA3/SNORA45 family
Source: Ensembl